Molecule: ribosomal RNA, 421 nt
Filed under: uncultured archaeon
Lineage: Archaea
Description: partial 16S ribosomal RNA
Rfam family: Archaeal small subunit ribosomal RNA
Source: RNAcentral
CUACGGGUUGCUGCAGUUACGAAACCUCUACAAUGCACGCAAGUGUGAUAGGGGGAUCCAUCGUGCAAUCCAUUCGGAUUGCUUUUUUGAAGUGUAAGUAGCUUCGAGAAUAAGGGGUGGGCAAGACCGGUGCCAGCCGCCGCGGUAAUCCCGGCGCCCCAAGUGGUGAUCACGAUUAUUGGGCCUAAAGCAUCCGUAGCCGGUUUGGUAAGUCUCUGGUGAAAUUCGGCAGCCUAACUGUCGAGCGUGCUGGAGAUACUGCCUUACUUGAGAUCGGGAGGAGCUAGGGGAAUUCUAGGGGGAGCGGUAAAAUGUUUUAAUCCCUGGAGGACCAUCAGUGGCGAAGGCGCCUAGCUAGAACGAGUCUGACGGUGAGGGAUGAGAGCUAGGGGAGCAAAGAGGAUUAGAUACCCUUGUAGUC